CUACACAGGUAUAUAUACAUGGGACUUAUAUUAUUACAUUUUUAUUACUCCACUCGCAUGCCCAUCCCAAAUACCCAUCACGGAGGAGGGAUGUCUCUACUCCACUCGCAUUUCGCAUUCGCAAGGAAGAAAGACAUUUAUAGAAAUCAAUACAUGGGACUUAUAUUAUUACAUUUUUAUUCUAUGAAGUACAUGCUCAUUCCAAAUACCCAUCACGGAGGAGGGAUGUCUCUACUCCACUCGCAUUUCGCAUUCGCAAGGAAGAAAGACAUUUAUAGAAAUCACCACACAAUUAUGUUUAAUUGGAGGAGGUUGAGUCCGUGGGGACUCGAACCAUUGCCCUCAUGGUCAUGCUUAACUUUUAGGGUAAUGGUCCACCACUGGACUACAAGUCCAAGUGGCGAAUAGACAGUUACUUACAAUUAUUUUAUGAUGUUGAUGUGAUUCAUCUUUACAAGUAAUGCAUGUACGGACCCA
RNAcentral lists this long non-coding RNA (477 nucleotides) under Citrus sinensis (sweet orange). RNAcentral's name for it is "long non-coding RNA (CSIN_LNC002904)". The record is from RNAcentral. Lineage: Eukaryota; Viridiplantae; Streptophyta; Magnoliopsida; Sapindales; Rutaceae.